UAACUGAAGAGUUUGAUCAUGGCUCAGAUUGAACGCUGGCGGCAGGCUUAACACAUGCAAGUCGAGCGGGGGAAGGUAGCUUGCUACCGGACCUAGCGGCGGACGGGUGAGUAAUGCUUAGGAAUCUGCCUAUUAGUGGGGGACAACAUCUCGAAAGGGAUGCUAAUACCGCAUACGUCCUACGGGAGAAAGCAGGGGAUCUUCGGACCUUGCGCUAAUAGAUGAGC
This 227-nucleotide ribosomal RNA is filed under the name Acinetobacter baumannii. RNAcentral's name for it is "partial 16S ribosomal RNA". It matches the Rfam family "Bacterial small subunit ribosomal RNA", at positions 1 to 230 of the family's 1533-position model. The record is from RNAcentral. Lineage: Bacteria; Pseudomonadati; Pseudomonadota; Gammaproteobacteria; Moraxellales; Moraxellaceae.